UUCAAUGUCCUUGGGUCAGCUCUUUGUGUUUUUAUUUGCUACAGGUGAGAAGAAACAUCAGAAGCACUUGAAGGACCAGAAGGUGGGUGUUCUAGGGAUGGGGAGGCAAUCUGCAAAAUGGCUUUUUAGAAAAUUUCCUCCAGAGUUAUCUGUCUCAUUAACAAUGGUUUUUUGUCUUAGAAUUUUCUCUUUCAUUUUAUAAACUGACAUGAUUUGUUCAAUUAUGAAUGUACACUGAUCUAGUCCUUCAAUAAUCCAUCACACGUUUUACCCAUGUCUUCUAUAGGCACCUUUUCUUUGGUGUUAAUGACAUCAUCUUCAUCGUCACUAUUAUUGUGAUCAUCUUGAUCCAGAACAAUUUCAGCUAUUUCACCAUUGGUCAAUGAAUGAACAACUGGAGGCUCAUUAUCAAUGUUAAAAGCUUCUUUGAUAUCUACUUCUUCCAGCUUACUGAUGCAUAUAUAUUAUUAUUUUGCAUAUAUAAGGUCAGACAUUCAUGUUUUCCUCACUUGACAUAUGAAAUCCUUCAAAGUCACUACUUAGUUCAUCAUCAUCAUCACUGCACAUAGUCACAGGUUAGAGGUUGCAGGCAUGCAAAACUGUAUCUUUAGUCAUUGUCUUCCAAGCAUUGGCAACAGCAUGUAUGGCAUCUUUCAUGCUAAACUCUUUUUGCAAACCUUCCACACCCACACCUCUUGUCACUGCUGCUAGCAUGCUGUUCAGGAAAGUGUUUUUAUAUUUACUCUUCAUUGAUCUAAGGAUACCCUGGCCACAUGGUUGAAUUAAUAAAGUCACAUUUUGGGGAAAGUAGAUGGCAUAAACAUUUUUGAUGAGAAUUUCAGCAGGAGGGUGAAUAGAACAGUUGUCACGUGUAACAAAAUCUUGCAGUCAUCCUCCAGUUUAGCUUCCCUGCAGUGAGCAUGAACUUCUGGUACAAAACAUUGGAGCACCAAUCAGAAAAUAUGUCCCUGGUGAUCUGUGCACUUUUGUUAGCAUAAUAAUAGUCUGGUAAGAAAUCCACUCCCUUAAAAUAGUGAAGACAUAAGCUUUUGCCUGUCACAGCAAGUUUACAAUGUGUUUGUGUGCUGCAUUAGCAUAUCCCAGUACAGUUAUUCUGUCCUUGGCAUCCUUAAUUCCUAUAGGGGCUUUCUCAUCAGCUGUAGUCAGUGUCUUCCUGGGGCAGUAACACAAAACAGUGAUGUUUUAUAAGCAUUAUAGACUUGUUCUGGUGUCAGAUUUUCAUCAGUGAUAACUUGGGCACGCUCAUCAAUCAUUGCUGCUUUAUGAUCAGCAGAUGCUUUAUCACCUCAAAUUGUAAAAAAAAUAAUGUUGUGUCUUAAAUGUAUGCAGCCAGAUAUAUUGAAUAUUCACAGUUCCCUUCAAUUUCCAGUUCAUCAUAAGUCUUUGCUCAUUUCAUUAUCAGCAUGACAUUAAGUGGCAAGUGUUCACUGCAUCGCUGACCGAUCCAAUUUUUCAAUACAUGAUCAAGACCAUUAUUUUUAGUUUUAUGCAGUGUUUUUCUGUUUUUACUAAUUUUUAUUCAUUAUUUUUAGCAUAGAACUCCAACUGUUUAUCCUUCUAUUGUUUCAGGUCAUAUAUGGUGGUCAUUCUGACACCAUACUCUUCUAUUAAGAUGUUUCACAUUCGCACCACUGUCCAGUUUCUCCAACAGCUUGACUUUCUGUGCUAUCCUAUAAACAUAAAUGCUUCCUCUUUUGUUGGUAUCUGCAGGCCUUUUGAACAUUUUUUCAGCAACAUCUUUACACCACAGGGUAGAAAAUAAACAAGAAAACACAAGGAGCAAUGCAUGUAGGUCUUUACUACAUGUAGGGCAUUUUGGGGAACCGGCUGUUGGCACAUCCAGUCUGCACAUGUGCUAUUUUAUUACGUUUUAUGGGUGUGCUUUCAUGGAGGAAUUUGGUCAUGCACAGAAAAUAUAUAUUGCAGCUGAACUGGGGUGGAAGGGUCUUUUUUCCCUUGGAGACAUUGAAU
RNAcentral lists this long non-coding RNA (1992 nucleotides) under Homo sapiens (human). RNAcentral's name for it is "HSALNT0124642". The record is from RNAcentral. Lineage: Eukaryota; Metazoa; Chordata; Mammalia; Primates; Hominidae.